RNAcentral lists this ribosomal RNA (850 nucleotides) under uncultured bacterium. RNAcentral's name for it is "bacterial SSU rRNA". It matches the Rfam family "Bacterial small subunit ribosomal RNA", at positions 8 to 814 of the family's 1533-position model. The record is from RNAcentral.
AGAGUUUGAUCCUGGCUCAGGAUGAACGCCGGCGGUGUGCCUAAUACAUGCAAGUCGUACGCACUGGCCCAACUGAUUGAUGGUGCUUGCACCUGAUUGACGAUGGAUCACCAGUGAGUGGCGGACGGGUGAGUAACACGUAGGUAACCUGCCUCGGAGCGGGGGAUAACAUUUGGAAACAGAUGCUAAUACCGCAUAACAACAAAAGCCACAUGGCUUUUGUUUGAAAGAUGGCUUUGGCUAUCACUCUGGGAUGGACCUGCGGUGCAUUAGCUAGUUGGUAAGGUAACGGCUUACCAAGGCAAUGAUGCAUAGCCGAGUUGAGAGACUGAUCGGCCACAAUGGAACUGAGACACGGUCCAUACUCCUACGGGAGGCAGCAGUAGGGAAUCUUCCACAAUGGGCGCAAGCCUGAUGGAGCAACACCGCGUGAGUGAAGAAGGGUUUCGGCUCGUAAAGCUCUGUUGUUGGAGAAGAACGUGCGUGAGAGUAACUGUUCACGCAGUGACGGUAUCCAACCAGAAAGUCACGGCUAACUACGUGCCAGCAGCCGCGGUAAUACGUAGGUGGCAAGCGUUAUCCGGAUUUAUUGGGCGUAAAGCGAGCGCAGGCGGUUGCUUAGGUCUGAUGUGAAAGCCUUCGGCUUAACCGAAGAAGUGCAUCGGAAACCGGGCGACUUGAGUGCAGAAGAGGACAGUGGAACUCCAUGUGUAGCGGUGGAAUGCGUAGAUAUAUGGAAGAACACCAGUGGCGAAGGCGGCUGUCUGGUCUGCAACUGACGCUGAGGCUCGAAAGCAUGGGUAGCGAACAGGAUUAGAUACCCUGGUAGUCCAUGCCGUAAACGAUGAGU